AGAAAAACAUCGCAUGUUAAGGCCAAAAGAAGGCAGCUUGCAAACUGUCAAAAUUUCAUCGCCUAGGUUUUUGUUCCGAACGUGACAGAGGUUUGCCGCAGGAAUUCUCUUCGCUCAUAAUCGUAUAAUUUACACCUCUAAAAUCAGGAUGAACAACGUACCCCGAUUGGCGACUGUUGCCCGACCUUUCCUCAUGCAGCAACGAGCUGCUGGUUCGGUAACCGGAGGUCUGCCACAAGUGCGAGUCUCGUUCGGGGAAAAAGUCGCUCACGGGCUUUUCAUCUUUUGCGGUGUGCUGGCUUAUCCGGCCUGGGUUCUGGCCCACAUGAAAGAGUAUAAGGGUCAGAAGUAAGUCUAGAGCACAGCACUAACGGGAUGGGAUUUACCGUAGCCGGACCAAUCGAAGCGGACGAUCUCUGGUACUUCUGGUAGGGUCCGUAUCGUUUGUUAUCCAGCGUGGCUGUAUGUUAAGUCUUAAAGUGCUAUAAAUUGAAAUUGGAAUAAAGUGAAUGUAGAGUUAAACAA
Long non-coding RNA from Wyeomyia smithii (pitcher-plant mosquito), 525 nucleotides. RefSeq lists it as uncharacterized. The record is from RefSeq and is a predicted model, not a curated record. NCBI's taxonomy places the organism in Eukaryota, Metazoa, Arthropoda, Insecta, Diptera, Culicidae. The transcript is spliced from 3 exons.